RNAcentral lists this transfer RNA (58 nucleotides) under Apaloderma vittatum (bar-tailed trogon). It matches the Rfam family "tRNA", at positions 8 to 63 of the family's 71-position model. Rfam says of the family: Transfer RNA (tRNA) molecules are approximately 80 nucleotides in length. Their secondary structure includes four short double-helical elements and three loops (D, anti-codon, and T loops). The record is from Rfam by way of RNAcentral. Lineage: Eukaryota; Metazoa; Chordata; Aves; Trogoniformes; Trogonidae.
UAGCUCAGUCAGUUGAGCGUGGCGCUAACAAUGCCAAGGACGCAGGUUCGAUUCCGGU